This 880-nucleotide long non-coding RNA is filed under the name Astyanax mexicanus (Mexican tetra). RNAcentral's name for it is "lncRNA (ENSAMXG00005015820.1)". The record is from RNAcentral. Lineage: Eukaryota; Metazoa; Chordata; Actinopteri; Characiformes; Acestrorhamphidae.
GUGAGAGCAGUGCUGGAAAGGUAAUCCUACAGAAACCUGGCCUGCAGGCUGUGCUGAUUGGAUUAUUUACUGCUUCUGCUCUCCGCUGAGGACGCCCACCCUCGCGCUAUACCACCGCACCAGAGUUCGGCUCUUCAGGCCUUGUUUUCGUCUGCAGUGUUCUUCAGGAACGGGUGUUUUAUAUUCAGCGUUGAUUCCUGUACAGGCGUUCUCCAUAGCUCCGCCCUCCACCCGCCAUAGCAGUUGAAACACUGGUCACCGUGCCCACCUGUGAUUAAAGCAGGCGGUCAGCGUGCAUUAGCGUAAUGUAAUCUGUCAGAAGGUUAACUGCUGUCCCUGUUGGCUUACCAAGACCUGGUAGUAGGCUUCCGUCUUAAGUUGUAAUUCUCCACUACUGCUCACGAGCACGUUCGCUUCACCCAGCCAUAGCCCUGCUGUGCAGUAUGUCGAACCAUGUGUACGGUGAUCGUGUGCUUCCUUAUACGCCAGCUGUGUAAGUUCCUCAUCAGCUUGUGGGCCACGCGAGAAGCUUCAGCUCGAAUCAGCCCAGCAAACACAGACAGCCUGCAGCAGCUGGAGGAGACGGUCAGCUCGGACAACAGUGAAGAACCUGCUAAACACUAAAACACACAGAGAUCCUCAGAGUUGGUCAGGACUGAAGCAGCGGUGAGGACAGACCUCCUCCCUCCUUCCCUCCGUCUGACGGUUCUCCCUCACUCCUCCCCCUCUCCUCUUCGCUGCCCUGACAGCUCUGACCCCGCUGACCCCUGGAUAUUCCUGCAGCGAGUAAAGCCACCAGAGCAGGGCGGCGUGGGGGGAGGCCGGGGGGCUAAUUAAUGAGCUCUGAGAAUGAAACCGGGCUGCUGACGGGCAGUGGAGA